RNAcentral lists this ribosomal RNA (484 nucleotides) under uncultured bacterium. RNAcentral's name for it is "partial 16S ribosomal RNA". It matches the Rfam family "Bacterial small subunit ribosomal RNA", at positions 30 to 507 of the family's 1533-position model. The record is from RNAcentral.
AUUGAACGCUGGCGGCAGGCCUAACACAUGCAAGUCGAGCGGAUGAAGGGAGCUUGCUCCUGGAUUCAGCGGCGGACGGGUGAGUAAUGCCUAGGAAUCUGCCUGGUAGUGGGGGAUAACGUCCGGAAACGGGCGCUAAUACCGCAUACGUCCUGAGGGAGAAAGUGGGGGAUCUUCGGACCUCACGCUAUCAGAUGAGCCUAGGUCGGAUUAGCUAGUUGGUGGGGUAAAGGCCUACCAAGGCGACGAUCCGUAACUGGUCUGAGAGGAUGAUCAGUCACACUGGAACUGAGACACGGUCCAGACUCCUACGGGAGGCAGCAGUGGGGAAUAUUAGACAAUGGGCGAAAGCCUGAUCCAGCCAUGCCGCGUGUUUGAAGAAGGUCUUCGGAUUGUAAAGCACUUUAAGUUGGGAGGAAGGGCAGUAAGUUAAUACCUUGCUGUUUUGACGUUACCAACAGAAUAAGCACCGGCUAACUUCGUG